This 301-nucleotide long non-coding RNA is filed under the name Brassica napus (rape). Its description in RNAcentral is "long non-coding RNA (BNAP_LNC004973)". Lineage: Eukaryota; Viridiplantae; Streptophyta; Magnoliopsida; Brassicales; Brassicaceae. The record is from RNAcentral.
CCUUCUUAGUACCAAUAUUAUAAACAUGUCCCACUUCCCCCUUGUGAAGAAUAACCUCAAACGCCUCAGCAACAUCUUCACAGUAAAGAUAGCUACGAACAUUACUCCCAUCUCCAUGAAUAGGAAGAACCUUCCCCCUCAUCGCCAGCAACAUAAACUUAGGAAUCAGCUUCUCCGGAAACUGGUUAGGCCCAUAAACAUUAUUCCCACGCGUGGUGAUAACCGGAAGCCCGUACGAUCUCCCAUACGCCAUCACAAGCAUCUCAGCUCCGGCCUUGGUAGCGGAGUAAGGAUUCGUGGG